GUGGGGAAUAUUGGACAAUGGGCGAAAGCCUGAUCCAGCCAUGCCGCGUGUGUGAAGAAGGUCUUCGGAUUGUAAAGCACUUUAAGUUGGGAGGAAGGGCAGUAAGUUAAUACCUUGCUGUUUUGACGUUACCGACAGAAUAAGCACCGGCUAACUUCGUGCCAGCAGCCGCGGUAAUACGAAGGGUGCAAGCGUUAAUCGGAAUUACUGGGCGUAAAGCGCGCGUCGGUGGUUUUGUAAGUUGGAGGUGAAAUCCCCGGGCUCAAACUGGGAACUGCCUCCAAAACUGCAUGACUAGAGUACGGUAGAGGGGAGUGGAAUUUCCUGUGUAGCGGUGAAAUGCGUAGAUAUAGGAAGGAACACCAGUGGCGAAGGCGACUACCUGGACUGAUACUGACACUGAGGUGCGAAAGCGUGGGGAGCAAACAGGAUUAGAUACCCCGGUAGUCC
RNAcentral lists this ribosomal RNA (450 nucleotides) under uncultured bacterium. RNAcentral describes it as "partial 16S ribosomal RNA". It matches the Rfam family "Bacterial small subunit ribosomal RNA", at positions 354 to 796 of the family's 1533-position model. The record is from RNAcentral.